RNAcentral lists this long non-coding RNA (312 nucleotides) under Cyanistes caeruleus (blue tit). Its description in RNAcentral is "lncRNA (ENSCCEG00000000208.1)". Lineage: Eukaryota; Metazoa; Chordata; Aves; Passeriformes; Paridae. The record is from RNAcentral.
CUGGCACAGCUCUCAGCCAGCCCCACACACGCUGCAGCUUGCCUUGCCAUGCAGCAGCAGACCUCUGCUGAGAAGACAAGAAAUACUGCAGAGCUCUGCAACAAGAUUUGAGGGCUUGAGAUGUGACCUUUGGGUGUGAUCAGAACCAUUUUCAUGAAGUUACCCUUAAGCCUAAAGUUCUCAUCUGUGCUGCUCUGUUGCUGACAUUUUGGACAGUGACUCUACUCCGAAGUUUUUUGCCAGGAGUAAGGAUUUCACCAUGGUGUCUUUUUCUAUUCAACAAGAAGAAAAAUCUUAGUAUCAGAAAAGAGG